RNAcentral lists this ribosomal RNA (252 nucleotides) under uncultured bacterium. RNAcentral's name for it is "partial 16S ribosomal RNA". It matches the Rfam family "Bacterial small subunit ribosomal RNA", at positions 524 to 776 of the family's 1533-position model. The record is from RNAcentral.
UACGAAGGGGGCUAGCGUUGUUCGGAAUCACUGGGCGUAAAGGGCGCGUAGGCGGCUUUAUAAGUCGGGGUGAAAGCCUGUGGCUCAACCACAGAAUUGCCUUCGAUACUGUAGAGCUUGAGACCGGAAGAGGUAAGUGGAACUGCGAGUGUAGAGGUGAAAUUCGUAGAUAUUCGCAAGAACACCAGUGGCGAAGGCGGCUUACUGGUCCGGUUCUGACGCUGAGGCGCGAAAGCGUGGGGAGCAAACAGG